This 2903-nucleotide ribosomal RNA is filed under the name Escherichia coli. RNAcentral describes it as "bacterial LSU rRNA". It matches the Rfam family "Bacterial large subunit ribosomal RNA". Lineage: Bacteria; Pseudomonadati; Pseudomonadota; Gammaproteobacteria; Enterobacterales; Enterobacteriaceae. The record is from RNAcentral.
UUAAGCGACUAAGCGUACACGGUGGAUGCCCUGGCAGUCAGAGGCGAUGAAGGACGUGCUAAUCUGCGAUAAGCGUCGGUAAGGUGAUAUGAACCGUUAUAACCGGCGAUUUCCGAAUGGGGAAACCCAGUGUGAUUCGUCACACUAUCAUUAACUGAAUCCAUAGGUUAAUGAGGCGAACCGGGGGAACUGAAACAUCUAAGUACCCCGAGGAAAAGAAAUCAACCGAGAUUCCCCCAGUAGCGGCGAGCGAACGGGGAGCAGCCCAGAGCCUGAAUCAGUGUGUGUGUUAGUGGAAGCGUCUGGAAAGGCACGCGAUACAGGGUGACAGCCCCGUACACAAAAAUGCACAUGCUGUGAGCUCGAUGAGUAGGGCGGGACACGUGGUAUCCUGUCUGAAUAUGGGGGGACCAUCCUCCAAGGCUAAAUACUCCUGACUGACCGAUAGUGAACCAGUACCGUGAGGGAAAGGCGAAAAGAACCCCGGCGAGGGGAGUGAAAAAGAACCUGAAACCGUGUACGUACAAGCAGUGGGAGCACGCUUAGGCGUGUGACUGCGUACCUUUUGUAUAAUGGGUCAGCGACUUAUAUUCUGUAGCAAGGUUAACCGAAUAGGGGAGCCGAAGGGAAACCGAGUCUUAACUGGGCGUUAAGUUGCAGGGUAUAGACCCGAAACCCGGUGAUCUAGCCAUGGGCAGGUUGAAGGUUGGGUAACACUAACUGGAGGACCGAACCGACUAAUGUUGAAAAAUUAGCGGAUGACUUGUGGCUGGGGGUGAAAGGCCAAUCAAACCGGGAGAUAGCUGGUUCUCCCCGAAAGCUAUUUAGGUAGCGCCUCGUGAAUUCAUCUCCGGGGGUAGAGCACUGUUUCGGCAAGGGGGUCAUCCCGACUUACCAACCCGAUGCAAACUGCGAAUACCGGAGAAUGUUAUCACGGGAGACACACGGCGGGUGCUAACGUCCGUCGUGAAGAGGGAAACAACCAGACCGCCAGCUAAGGUCCCAAAGUCAUGGUUAAGUGGGAAACGAUGUGGGAAGGCCCAGACAGCCAGGAUGUUGGCUUAGAAGCAGCCAUCAUUUAAAGAAAGCGUAAUAGCUCACUGGUCGAGUCGGCCUGCGCGGAAGAUGUAACGGGGCUAAACCAUGCACCGAAGCUGCGGCAGCGACACUAUGUGUUGUUGGGUAGGGGAGCGUUCUGUAAGCCUGCGAAGGUGUGCUGUGAGGCAUGCUGGAGGUAUCAGAAGUGCGAAUGCUGACAUAAGUAACGAUAAAGCGGGUGAAAAGCCCGCUCGCCGGAAGACCAAGGGUUCCUGUCCAACGUUAAUCGGGGCAGGGUGAGUCGACCCCUAAGGCGAGGCCGAAAGGCGUAGUCGAUGGGAAACAGGUUAAUAUUCCUGUACUUGGUGUUACUGCGAAGGGGGGACGGAGAAGGCUAUGUUGGCCGGGCGACGGUUGUCCCGGUUUAAGCGUGUAGGCUGGUUUUCCAGGCAAAUCCGGAAAAUCAAGGCUGAGGCGUGAUGACGAGGCACUACGGUGCUGAAGCAACAAAUGCCCUGCUUCCAGGAAAAGCCUCUAAGCAUCAGGUAACAUCAAAUCGUACCCCAAACCGACACAGGUGGUCAGGUAGAGAAUACCAAGGCGCUUGAGAGAACUCGGGUGAAGGAACUAGGCAAAAUGGUGCCGUAACUUCGGGAGAAGGCACGCUGAUAUGUAGGUGAAGCGACUUGCUCGUGGAGCUGAAAUCAGUCGAAGAUACCAGCUGGCUGCAACUGUUUAUUAAAAACACAGCACUGUGCAAACACGAAAGUGGACGUAUACGGUGUGACGCCUGCCCGGUGCCGGAAGGUUAAUUGAUGGGGUUAGCGGUAACGCGAAGCUCUUGAUCGAAGCCCCGGUAAACGGCGGCCGUAACUAUAACGGUCCUAAGGUAGCGAAAUUCCUUGUCGGGUAAGUUCCGACCUGCACGAAUGGCGUAAUGAUGGCCAGGCUGUCUCCACCCGAGACUCAGUGAAAUUGAACUCGCUGUGAAGAUGCAGUGUACCCGCGGCAAGACGGAAAGACCCCGUGAACCUUUACUAUAGCUUGACACUGAACAUUGAGCCUUGAUGUGUAGGAUAGGUGGGAGGCUUUGAAGUGUGGACGCCAGUCUGCAUGGAGCCGACCUUGAAAUACCACCCUUUAAUGUUUGAUGUUCUAACGUUGACCCGUAAUCCGGGUUGCGGACAGUGUCUGGUGGGUAGUUUGACUGGGGCGGUCUCCUCCUAAAGAGUAACGGAGGAGCACGAAGGUUGGCUAAUCCUGGUCGGACAUCAGGAGGUUAGUGCAAUGGCAUAAGCCAGCUUGACUGCGAGCGUGACGGCGCGAGCAGGUGCGAAAGCAGGUCAUAGUGAUCCGGUGGUUCUGAAUGGAAGGGCCAUCGCUCAACGGAUAAAAGGUACUCCGGGGAUAACAGGCUGAUACCGCCCAAGAGUUCAUAUCGACGGCGGUGUUUGGCACCUCGAUGUCGGCUCAUCACAUCCUGGGGCUGAAGUAGGUCCCAAGGGUAUGGCUGUUCGCCAUUUAAAGUGGUACGCGAGCUGGGUUUAGAACGUCGUGAGACAGUUCGGUCCCUAUCUGCCGUGGGCGCUGGAGAACUGAGGGGGGCUGCUCCUAGUACGAGAGGACCGGAGUGGACGCAUCACUGGUGUUCGGGUUGUCAUGCCAAUGGCACUGCCCGGUAGCUAAAUGCGGAAGAGAUAAGUGCUGAAAGCAUCUAAGCACGAAACUUGCCCCGAGAUGAGUUCUCCCUGACUCCCUUGAGAGUCCUGAAGGAACGUUGAAGACGACGACGUUGAUAGGCCGGGUGUGUAAGCGCAGCGAUGCGUUGAGCUAACCGGUACUAAUGAACCGUGAGGCUUAACCUU